CUUUAAUAAUAAUAAAGUUAAUAGAGGAAUCCUGUUCAUAAAUAAAUCCAAAUAUUAUCAUCUUUGUCUAUCAAAGUUUGUUUUUCCCACCACUAUUUUCUUUAUUCUCACCCCGUUUCCUGUUCCUAAAAUAGCCUCAUUCUACGUCCCGCAAAACGUACUGUGAACCUCUUUGUAUAUUAAUGUAAUCUCGGGACGUCCGCUCUCCUCUUUAUGCUGAGAGUACACAAACACCAACCUCGUUCCCAGACAAACACUUCCGAAAUAGACUUAUU
This is a non-coding RNA of Paramuricea clavata, 275 nucleotides long. The record is from the annotation of a GenBank genome assembly. Lineage: Eukaryota; Metazoa; Cnidaria; Anthozoa; Malacalcyonacea; Plexauridae.